This 253-nucleotide ribosomal RNA is filed under the name uncultured bacterium. Its description in RNAcentral is "partial 16S ribosomal RNA". It matches the Rfam family "Bacterial small subunit ribosomal RNA", at positions 524 to 776 of the family's 1533-position model. The record is from RNAcentral.
UACAGAGGGGGCAAGCGUUGUUCGGAAUUACUGGGCGUAAAGGGCGCGUAGGCGGCCUGUUAAGUCGAACGUGAAAUCCCCGGGCUCAACCCGGGAACUGCGUCCGAUACUGGCAGGCUUGAAUUCGGGAGAGGGAUGCGGAAUUCCAGGUGUAGCGGUGAAAUGCGUAGAUAUCUGGAGGAACACCGGUGGCGAGGGCGGGUCUCUGGGCCGAUACUGACGCUGAGGAGCGAAAGCGUGGGGAGCGAACAGG